ACCCUGUUUCUUACGUUUGCUGGGUUUAGAAUUUUUAUGUCGUUCUGUUCUUUGAAAAUUGUCAGUUUUUGUUUUAGGAAAAAAAGAAAUUUUAA
Molecule: long non-coding RNA, 95 nt
Organism: Octopus sinensis (East Asian common octopus)
Lineage: Eukaryota; Metazoa; Mollusca; Cephalopoda; Octopoda; Octopodidae
Exons: 3
Source: RefSeq, a predicted model, not a curated record